CGCCCUUGAGUUUGAUCAUGGCUCAGAUUGAACGCUGGCGGCAUGCCUUACACAUGCAAGUCGAACGGCAGCGCGGGAGCAAUCCUGGCGGCGAGCGGCGAACGGGUGAGUAAUACAUCGGAACGUGCCCAAUCGUGGGGGAUAACGCAGCGAAAGCUGUGCUAAUACCGCAUACGAUCUACGGAUGAAAGCAGGGGAUCGCAAGACCUUGCGCGAAUGGAGCGGCCGAUGGCAGAUUAGGUAGUUGGUGAGGUAAAGGCUCACCAAGCCUUCGAUCUGUAGCUGGUCUGAGAGGACGACCAGCCACACUGGGACUGAGACACGGCCCAGACUCCUACGGGAGGCAGCAGUGGGGAAUUUUGGACAAUGGGCGAAAGCCUGAUCCAGCCAUGCCGCGUUUUUUUAUGAAGGCCUUCGGGUUGUAAACUGCUUUUGUACGGAACGAAACGGCCUUUUCUAAUAAAGAGGGCUAAU
This 474-nucleotide ribosomal RNA is filed under the name uncultured Variovorax sp. RNAcentral's name for it is "bacterial SSU rRNA". It matches the Rfam family "Bacterial small subunit ribosomal RNA", at positions 1 to 471 of the family's 1533-position model. The record is from RNAcentral. Lineage: Bacteria; Pseudomonadati; Pseudomonadota; Betaproteobacteria; Burkholderiales; Comamonadaceae.